GUACAACUCUGAGCGGUGGAUCACUCGGCUCGUGUGUCGAUGAAGAGCGCAGCCAACUGUGUGAAUUAAUGUGAACUGCCUACUGCUUUGAACAUCGACAUCUUGAACGCACAUUGCGGCUACGGGUUUACCUGUGGCCACGCCUGUCCGAGGGUCG
This 157-nucleotide ribosomal RNA is filed under the name Centrovarium marinum. RNAcentral describes it as "5.8S ribosomal RNA". It matches the Rfam family "5.8S ribosomal RNA". Rfam says of the family: 5.8S ribosomal RNA (5.8S rRNA) is a component of the large subunit of the eukaryotic ribosome. It is transcribed by RNA polymerase I as part of the 45S precursor that also contains 18S and 28S rRNA. Lineage: Eukaryota; Metazoa; Platyhelminthes; Trematoda; Opisthorchiida; Cryptogonimidae. The record is from RNAcentral.